AGCGAACGCUGGCGGCGUGCUUAACACAUGCAAGUCGAGCGAAGGUGUUUCAAGGGUAACCUUGAGAUACACUUAGCGGCGGACGGGUGAGUAAUACGUGGAUAACUUACCUCUAGGCCUGGGAUAACCCCGGGAAACUGGGGCUAAUACCUGAUAAGACCACAUUGUCUACGGACAAAGGGGUAAAAGGUGGCUGUGCAAACAGCUAUCGCCAAAAGAUAGGUUCACGUCCCAUCAGGCAGUUGGUGAGGUAAUGGCUCACCAAACCAAAGACGGGUAGCCGGCCUUGGCGGGUGAACGGCCACACGGGGACUGAGACACGGCCCCGACUCCUACGGGAGGCAGCAGUGGGGGAUAUUGGGCAAUGGGCGCAAGCCUGACCCAGCGACGUCGCGUGGAUGAAGAAGGCCCUAGGGUUGUAAAGUCCUUUCGGCGGGGACGAUAAUGACGGUACCCGCAGAAGAAGCCCCGGCUAAUUUCGUGCCAGCCGCCGCGGUAAG
This 500-nucleotide ribosomal RNA is filed under the name uncultured bacterium. Its description in RNAcentral is "bacterial SSU rRNA". It matches the Rfam family "Bacterial small subunit ribosomal RNA", at positions 29 to 524 of the family's 1533-position model. The record is from RNAcentral.